Molecule: ribosomal RNA, 441 nt
Filed under: uncultured bacterium
Lineage: Bacteria
Description: partial 16S ribosomal RNA
Rfam family: Bacterial small subunit ribosomal RNA
Source: RNAcentral
CCUACGGGUGGCAGCAGUGGGGAAUAUUGCACAAUGGGGGAAACCCUGAUGCAGCGACGCCGCGUGAGCGAGGAAGUAUUUCGGUACGUAAAGCUCUAUCAGCAGGGACGAAAAAAGACGGUACUUGACUAAGAAGCCCCGGCUAACUACGUGCCAGCAGCCGCGGUAAUACGUAGGGGGCAAGCGUUAUCCGGAUUUACGGGGUGUAAAGGGAGCGUAGACGGCAAGGCAAGCCAGAAGUGAAAGGGCAGGGCUCAACCCUGUACAUGCUUUUGGAACUGUGGUGCUAGAGUGCAGGAGAGGUAAGUGGAAUUCCUAGUGUAGCGGUGAAAUGCGUAGAUAUUAGGAGGAACACCAGUGGCGAAGGCGGCUUACUGGACUGUAACUGACGUUGAGGCUCGAAAGCGUGGGGAGCAAACAGGAUUAGAUACCCUUGUAGUC